Molecule: ribosomal RNA, 1378 nt
Filed under: uncultured bacterium
Lineage: Bacteria
Description: 16S ribosomal RNA
Rfam family: Bacterial small subunit ribosomal RNA
Source: RNAcentral
AGAGUUUGAUCCUGGCUCAGGAUGAACGCUGGCGGCGUGCUUAACACAUGCAAGUCGAACGAGAGAAGAUCGGUGCUUGCACUGAUCCGAUCGAGUGGCGGACGGGUGAGUAACGCGUGGGUAACCUGCCUCAUACAGGGGAAUAACAGUUGGAAACGGCUGCUAAAACCGCAUAAGCGCACGGUAUCGCAUGAUACAGUGUGAAAAACUCCGGUGGUAUGAGAUGGACCCGCGUCUGAUUAGCUAGUUGGUGAGGUAACGGCCCACCAAGGCAACGAUCAGUAGCCGGCCUGAGAGGGUGAACGGCCACAUUGGGACUGAGACACGGCCCAAACUCCUACGGGAGGCAGCAGUGGGGAAUAUUGCACAAUGGGGGAAACCCUGAUGCAGCGACGCCGCGUGAGUGAUGAAGUAUUUCGGUAUGUAAAGCUCUAUCAGCAGGGAAGAUAAUGACGGUACCUGACUAAGAAGCACCGGCUAAAUACGUGCCAGCAGCCGCGGUAAUACGUAUGGUGCAAGCGUUAUCCGGAUUUACUGGGUGUAAAGGGUGCGUAGGUGGUGAGACAAGUCUGAAGUGAAAAUCCGGGGCUUAACCCCGGAACUGCUUUGGAAACUGCCUGACUAGAGUACAGGAGAGGUAAGUGGAAUUCCUAGUGUAGCGGUGAAAUGCGUAGAUAUUAGGAGGAACACCAGUGGCGAAGGCGGCCUACUGGGCACCAACUGACGCUGAGGCUCGAAAGUGUGGGUAGCAAACAGGAUUAGAUACCCUGGUAGUCCACACCGUAAACGAUGAUUACUAGGUGUUGGGAGAUUGACCCUCUCAGUGCCGCAGUUAACACAAUAAGUAAUCCACCUGGGGAGUACGACCGCAAGGUUGAAACUCAAAGGAAUUGACGGGGGCCCGCACAAGCAGUGGAGUAUGUGGUUUAAUUCGACGCAACGCGAAGAACCUUACCAAGUCUUGACAUCCUCUGACGAACGUAGAAAUACGUUUUCUCUUCGGAGCAGAGAGACAGGUGGUGCAUGGUUGUCGUCAGCUCGUGUCGUGAGAUGUUGGGUUAAGUCCCGCAACGAGCGCAACCCUUAUCUUCAGUUACUAACGCGUAGAGGUGAGGACUCUGAAGAGACUGCCGGGGACAACUCGGAGGAAGGUGGGGACGACGUCAAAUCAUCAUGCCCCUUAUGACCUGGGCUACACACGUGCUACAAUGGCCACGACAGAGAGAAGCGAAAUCGCAAGGUAGAGCGGAACUCAAAAAAGUGGUCCCAGUUCGGAUUGUGGGCUGCAACCCGCCCACAUGAAGUCGGAGUUGCUAGUAAUCGCGGAUCAGCAUACCGCGGUGAAUACGUUCCCGGGCCUUGUACUCACCGCCCGUCA